CCUGUGUAAAAGUGGUCACAUAUGUCUCUGCCUGGUUAAAAGCACAGAGGGGCAUCCUUGAUUGAUCCAGUUUGUUUUUACCCCUGUGAGAAGAAGGUUACGUACUGAAGUUUAGAAAUGCAGUCAACUGAUUUAAAAUGUUUGAAGUCACAGACCUCCCCAGCCCCUGAGAGCCACCAUUCUGGUCUCUGUUGUUGAAAGAUUCUACGUAUUUCAAUAAUAUGCUGCUGUUGUUUCACAUCUUCAUUGAGGAUUGGUACUAACAAUAACUUUCAUUCCAUCAAAAAUGGUUUCCAAUGACCAUGACCAUCAUGUAAACAAUAAGGCACAUGGCUUGACCGGCGACCUCCAUGCAGUCCCACAU
Non-coding RNA from Manis javanica (Malayan pangolin), 364 nucleotides. Lineage: Eukaryota; Metazoa; Chordata; Mammalia; Pholidota; Manidae. The record is from RefSeq and is a predicted model, not a curated record.